CCUACGGGUGGCAGCAGUGAGGAAUAUUGGUCAAUGGGCGCGAGCCUGAACCAGCCAAGUAGCGUGAAGGAUGACUGCUCUACGGGUUGUAAACUUCUUUUGUAAAGGAAUAAAGUGAGGCACGUGUGCCUUUUUGUAUGUACUUUAUGAAUAAGGAUCGGCUAACUCCGUGCCAGCAGCCGCGGUAAUACGGAGGAUGCGAGCGUUAUCCGGAUUUAUUGGGUUUAAAGGGAGCGUAGGUGGGUUGGUAAGUCAGGUGGGAAAGUUUGCGGGUCAAACGUAGACGUGCAAUUGAUACUGGCAGUCUUGAGUGCGCGUGAGGUAGGCGGAAUGCGUGGUGUAGCGGUGAAAUGCUUAGAUAUCGCGAAGAACUCCGAUUGCGAAGGCAGCGUACUAAACUGCGACUGACAUUGAGGCACGAAAGCGUGGGGAGCGAACAGGAUUAGAUACCCUUGUAGUC
This 460-nucleotide ribosomal RNA is filed under the name uncultured bacterium. RNAcentral describes it as "partial 16S ribosomal RNA". It matches the Rfam family "Bacterial small subunit ribosomal RNA", at positions 338 to 795 of the family's 1533-position model. The record is from RNAcentral.